AGAGAGCAAGGGCGAUUGGAAAAUUCCCUUCUCUGAGGACAUGGAUAUCAGUGCUUAUGGAAAGCAAGCCGUCUGGAAGGAAGAACUCAUGAGUGACGACUGGAAAGCGAUGGCUCAAGAUUUUCGUCGGCGGAGAUACAAUGGCAAGUGAAAGUUUGAAGCAGAGACUUGUUGAGGUGUUCUCAAUGCGAGCAGUAUGCAAGGACAAGACACUCGCCACCUCCUGGGCUAAAGACCUUGGCCUGGAAGGAGAUAACCUACUGUGGAUGCGUUUUAGUGCAACACACCCUCUGUUGAGCCCUGCUUUGUGUGAGAUAGACAGGAUGCAGGUAGGGAUCUUCCCUACGGGUAAGCAACUUGCUUAUAGCCACUGACUUGAUGGAGUUUUCCGGUGAAUUUGCCCCUGUUGUCAACAGAACAAGCCUGAGACCCUCGAGCACCUUCUAGCAGAAUGUCCAUGCUGGGAGGAGAUAAGGGAAAGAACUAUUUGGCAGAUCCUUGACAAGAGGGUCUGUCUAAUGUCGCCAGCAGCCAUCACUCGGGCUAUAGGCGUGCUUCUAGAAGGGGAGCCUGGAACUGAGCUGGUGCAGGGCGAAUCGAAAAGACAACGCAUGACCAACUGUAUCAGACCCGAUAACACGUGGAGAGGAAACGUAGGCUCGGGUAUAGUGAUAUCAACGGCCCGUUUUCUAGCGAAGUUAGUUCCCACCCGGUGGUCUAUUGUAGCACCUAAGCUAC
This 738-nucleotide long non-coding RNA is filed under the name Androctonus crassicauda. The record is from RNAcentral. Lineage: Eukaryota; Metazoa; Arthropoda; Arachnida; Scorpiones; Buthidae.